Molecule: ribosomal RNA, 443 nt
Filed under: uncultured bacterium
Lineage: Bacteria
Description: partial 16S ribosomal RNA
Rfam family: Bacterial small subunit ribosomal RNA
Source: RNAcentral
CCUACGGGAGGCAGCAGUGGGGAAUAUUGCACAAUGGGCGAAAGCCUGAUGCAGCAACGCCGCGUGAAGGAAGAAGGGUUUCGGCUCGUAAACUUCUAUCAACAGGGACGAAAGAAAUGACGGUACCUGAAUAAGAAGCCCCCGCUAACUACGUGCCAGCAGCCGCGGGAAUACGUAGGGGGCAAGCGUUAUCCGGAAUUACUGGGUGUAAAGGGUGAGUAGGCGGCAUGGUAAGCCAGAUGUGAAAGCCUUGGGCUUAACCCGAGGAUUGCAGUUGGAACUAUCAAGCUAGAGUACAGGAGAGGAAAGCGGAAUUCCUAGUGUAGCGGUGAAAUGCGUAGAGAUUAGGAAGAACACCAGUGGCGAAGGCGGCUUUCUGGACUGAAACUGACGCUGAGGCACGAAAGCGUGGGGAGCGAACAGGAUUAGAUACCCCAGUAGUC